UGGGGAAUUUUGCACAAUGGGGGAAACCCUGAUGCAGCGACGCCGCGUGAUUUAGAAGGCCUUCGGGUUGUAAAAAUCUUUUCUAUGGGAAGAAAAUGACAGUACCAUAGGAAUAAGGACCGGCUAAUUACGUGCCAGCAGCCGCGGUAAUACGUAAGGUCCGAGCGUUGUCCGGAAUCAUUGGGCGUAAAGGGUACGUAGGCGGGUAAGCAAGUUAGAAGUGAAAUCCUAUAGCUCAACUAUAGUAAGCUUUUAAAACUGCUCAUCUUGGGGUAUGGAAGGGAAAGGGGAAUUCCUAGUGUAGCGGUGAAAUGCGCAGAUAUUAGGAGGAAUACCGGUGGCGAAGGCGACUUUCUGGCCAUAACCUGACGCUGAGGUACGAAAGCGUGGGUAGCAAACAGG
This 402-nucleotide ribosomal RNA is filed under the name Fusobacteriota bacterium. RNAcentral's name for it is "Fusobacteria bacterium partial 16S ribosomal RNA". It matches the Rfam family "Bacterial small subunit ribosomal RNA", at positions 355 to 776 of the family's 1533-position model. The record is from RNAcentral. Lineage: Bacteria; Fusobacteriati; Fusobacteriota.